CCUUCGAUAGCUCAGCUGGUAGAGCGGAGGACUGUAGAUCCUUAGGUCGCUGGUUCAACUCCGGCUUGAAGGA
Molecule: transfer RNA, 73 nt
Filed under: Tursiops truncatus (common bottlenose dolphin)
Lineage: Eukaryota; Metazoa; Chordata; Mammalia; Artiodactyla; Delphinidae
Also listed under: 1 other name
Description: tRNA-Tyr (GTA) (tRNA-Tyr-GTA-7-1)
Rfam family: tRNA
About the family: Transfer RNA (tRNA) molecules are approximately 80 nucleotides in length. Their secondary structure includes four short double-helical elements and three loops (D, anti-codon, and T loops).
Source: RNAcentral